Molecule: long non-coding RNA, 321 nt
Filed under: Gallus gallus (chicken)
Lineage: Eukaryota; Metazoa; Chordata; Aves; Galliformes; Phasianidae
Source: RNAcentral
CUAAAGUCAACAGAGGGAGGUACUGGAAAUAGCAUUCAGAUGGGCAGGGGAUAUCUAGUGGGUCAGAUGGAAGCACAUGAAAGAGUCAUGCUGAAGCCAGUACUGUGCAGUAAUCCUAUGAGAAUGACCAUGGCUGUCUUUACUGAUGUGGGAGGAGGGCAGAAGGAAUGACUUCAGUGCUGCUUUAAUUACUGAUCUCACUAACUGCCCUCCAAACCAGCAGGGUUUUGCCCGGAGCUGUUUCCAAAAGCCAGAAUGCGCUUCUGUAACUGAUUUACACCUGAAAGGGUGGCUCUGAUGGUUCCCCAGUAUGGAUUUUUA